Molecule: long non-coding RNA, 681 nt
Filed under: Mustela putorius furo (domestic ferret)
Lineage: Eukaryota; Metazoa; Chordata; Mammalia; Carnivora; Mustelidae
Description: lncRNA (ENSMPUG00000024471.1)
Source: RNAcentral
AGUUGCUAGGACCUGCCUUUGAGGAGAGCAGGCCUUGUGGGUCUGGUUUGCAGCUCUGGCACCACUCAGGGCCCUGCUCCCCUACUUCCCUGCUGCCACACGACUCAGCCUUGGCACCGAACCAAAGCUGAUGGAAAAAUUAGCCAUCUGGAGCAUUGUCCCUCUCAUGACAGAAAGAAAAUGACAAGGCAAAUGGUGCCCUGACUCCCAGAACUCAGCACUAAAGUGACCAACAUCACUUCUUUGACUAAAACAAGUAAUAUAGCCAUUCCUAAGUUCAAUGGCAUUGGAAUACAUCCUCCACAGAGAGGAACGUGCCAGGAAAGAAACUGAAAUGUUUAGUGAAUGAGAACACAUCUCUACCAUCUCCUCCUAGGAUGACUUCUUUCCCAGAGACACGCCCCCUAGACUGUCAGCGGCCACACACUGGAGACCGGCAGAGUAGGACUGUAGAAGGAGUCUGGGCAUCCGUGACCCUGCGGGACCCAUGCGUCAACCUUGGACAGGCCACCUCUUGUUGCUUCCUGCCAUGUCAGAAACCUUCUCCUGGAUCUUCAGUCGCAGUGUAUCUGAAGCCACACCCACCGUGUAUCCCCGGCCCCCACCCAUGCGGCAGCACGUCACCGUCCAAUAGAGGGCACAACCGUGGGUCCAGGAAUCUGAACAGGAAGACUUGAAGGU